This 301-nucleotide ribosomal RNA is filed under the name uncultured bacterium. Its description in RNAcentral is "partial 16S ribosomal RNA". It matches the Rfam family "Bacterial small subunit ribosomal RNA", at positions 509 to 807 of the family's 1533-position model. The record is from RNAcentral.
CAGUCGCCGCGGUAAUACGAAGGGUGCAAGCGUUAAUCGGAAUUACUGGGCGUAAAGCGUGCGUAGGCGGUUUGUUAAGUCUGUUGUGAAAUCCCCGGGCUCAACCUGGGAAUGGCAGUGGAUACUGGCUCGCUAGAGUGUGUCAGAGGAUGGUGGAAUUCCCGGUGUAGCGGUGAAAUGCGUAGAGAUCGGGAGGAACAUCAGUGGCGAAGGCGGCCAUCUGGGACAACACUGACGCUGAGGCACGAAAGCGUGGGGAGCAAACAGGAUUAGAUACCCGCGUAGUCCCUGUCUCUUAUAC